This 468-nucleotide ribosomal RNA is filed under the name Triticum aestivum (bread wheat). RNAcentral's name for it is "partial small subunit ribosomal RNA". Lineage: Eukaryota; Viridiplantae; Streptophyta; Magnoliopsida; Poales; Poaceae. The record is from RNAcentral.
AUGAAUUGGAUGCAGUUUGGAGAUAAAAAUACAGCUUUUUUCCAUGCCUUUGCUUCGGAGAGGAAAAAGCGUAAUACCAUUCAGAAGCUGAGGAAAGAAGAUGGGUCCUGGGUAGAGAAGGCAGAAGAACUAAAGGAAUAUAUUUCAAAUUAUUUCUUUAGGUUGUUUACUUCAACGGCAGGGCAGGACAAUGAUAUAAUUCUGCAAUCAGUUCAACCUAGAGUAACUGAUCAAAUGAACGAGCUCCUUUGUGUAGAAUAUACUGAAGAAGAAGUGAAAGCUGCCUUGAAUAAUAUUGGUGAUCUAAAGGCUGCCGGACCUGAUGGCAUGCCUGCAAUCUUUUUUAAGAGAUUCUGGAGCACCGUAGGAGAGCAAGUAACCAAGGAGGUGCUCAAGGUGUUGAGAGGUGGUGAGAUGCCUGAAGAGUGGACCAACACCAUGAUAGUUCUGAUUCCAAAAAACAGCUAG